This 409-nucleotide long non-coding RNA is filed under the name Anas platyrhynchos platyrhynchos (common mallard). RNAcentral describes it as "lncRNA (ENSAPLG00000028390.1)". The record is from RNAcentral. Lineage: Eukaryota; Metazoa; Chordata; Aves; Anseriformes; Anatidae.
CAGUUGGAGGUUCAAUAUUUUUUUUAGAGGGUCUGGGAUUCAGUUAAAGCUAAAUUUAUAUAUAUAUAUAUGCAUAUAUACAUAAAUACAUGACAUGUUUUCUUUAUUGUAGAAAUGGUCCUUAUUCUCUAUGACCCAGUGCAGUGUGACCCCCUAACCUGAUACACGGUAGUUCUUCACAACUUGACUACAAGUAGAAAAUUAGAGUUUUCCAGGCUUAAGAGCCUGUUGGACUUUUAUGAAAUACAGUGAAAUGUCACUAAUUUCAGUGGAAUUAGCUUGGUGUAACUCAGCAAGGAUUUUGCUUCAUGGCCACAGUGAAACUACACAGAAUGAACACAAAGGUGAAGAGUGAUCUAACACUAUUAAAUAACAGCACAGAAGAACACCUACAAGGUGUAUUUGCAAA